Molecule: ribosomal RNA, 465 nt
Filed under: Vreelandella stevensii
Lineage: Bacteria; Pseudomonadati; Pseudomonadota; Gammaproteobacteria; Oceanospirillales; Halomonadaceae
Description: partial 16S ribosomal RNA
Rfam family: Bacterial small subunit ribosomal RNA
Source: RNAcentral
CCUACGGGUGGCUGCAGUGGGGAAUAUUGGACAAUGGGGGCAACCCUGAUCCAGCCAUGUCGCGUGUGUGAAGAAGGCCCUCGGGUUGUAAAGCACUUUCAGUGAGGAAGAACGCCUGGUGGUUAAUACCCAUCAGGAAAGACAUCACUCACAGAAGAAGCACCGGCUAACUCCGUGCCAGCAGCCGCGGUAAUACGGAGGGUGCGAGCGUUAAUCGGAAUUACUGGGCGUAAAGCGCGCGUAGGUGGCUUGAUAAGCCGGUUGUGAAAGCCCCGGGCUCAACCUGGGAACGGCAUCCGGAACUGUCAAGCUAGAGUGCAGGAGAGGAAGGUAGAAUUCCCGGUGUAGCGGUGAAAUGCGUAGAGAUCGGGAGGAAUACCAGUGGCGAAGGCGGCCUUCUGGACUGACACUGACACUGAGGUGCGAAAGCGUGGGUAGCAAACAGGAUUAGAUACCCUGGUAGUC